RNAcentral lists this ribosomal RNA (478 nucleotides) under uncultured bacterium. RNAcentral describes it as "partial 16S ribosomal RNA". It matches the Rfam family "Bacterial small subunit ribosomal RNA", at positions 28 to 507 of the family's 1533-position model. The record is from RNAcentral.
GAUGAACGCUGGCGGCGUGCUUAACACAUGCAAGUCGAACGAGAAAUGUAGACGGAAACCUUCGGGCGGAAGCCUUCAUUUCGAGUGGCGGACGGGGGAGUAACGCGUGGGUAACCUGCCUCAUACAGGGGGAUAACAGUUGGAAACGACUGUUAAUACCGCAUAAGACCACAGCAUCGCAUGAUGCGCGGGUCAAAACUCCGGUGGUAUGAGAUGGACCCGCGUUCGAUUAGCCAGUUGGCGGGGUAACGGCCCACCAAAGCGACGAUCGAUAGCCGAGCUGAGAGGAUGACCGGCCACAUUGGGACUGAGACACGGCCCAAACUCCUACGGGAGGCAGCAGUGGGGAAUAUUGCACAAUGGGGGAAAACCUGAUGCAGCGACGCCGCGUGAGUGAAGAAGUACUUCGGUAUGUAAAGCUCUAUCAGCAGGGAAGAAAAUGACGGUACCUGAGGAAGAAGCCCCGGCUAACUACGUG